GAUGAAGAACGCAGCGAAAUGCGAUAAGUAGUGUGAAUUGCAGAAUUCAGUGAAUCAUCGAAUCUUUGAACGCACAUUGCGCCCUUUGGUAUUCCAAAGGGCAUGCCUGUUCGAGCGUCAUUUGUACCCUCAAGCUUUGCUUGGUGUUGGGCGUCUUUUUGUCUCCCCUUGCGGGAGACUCGCCUUAAAGUCAUUGGCAGCCGGCCUACUGGUUUCGGAGCGCAGCACAAGUCGCGCUCUCUUCCAGCCCCAAGGUCUAGCAUCCAACAAGCCUUUUUUUCAACUUUUGACCUCGGAUCAGGUAGGGAUACCCGCUGAACUUAAGCAUAUCAAUAAGCGGAGGA
RNAcentral lists this unclassified non-coding RNA (344 nucleotides) under soil metagenome. RNAcentral's name for it is "partial contains 5.8S ribosomal RNA, internal transcribed spacer 2, and large subunit ribosomal RNA". The stretch from base 1 to 120 matches the Rfam family "5.8S ribosomal RNA", at positions 35 to 154 of the family's 154-position model. The record is from RNAcentral.